AUCGGUUAACCUAUGACAACCGUCCUUCAGACCGUUGUCCUCUGGUUAACCUAUCGUGUGUACGAGGCUUUAGUCUUACAGAUUAAAUAAUGUAGGGAGUCAUUCAGCCUGGAAGUCUAAGGACAUCUAGUGGUGAAAUGGAAUCACUGUGGGGGACAGCACAAGAGAGGAGGUAAGUAUUGAAGACAAAGCUCCUUAUUUAUUUCACACACUAGCUGCAGCAACUAAAAAAAAAUAAAAACCUUUUGCUUGGAGUUGCUUUAACAAGCUUCUACAUUAGGAAAGUGAACCAAUAUGCCUCUGUGGAGUUGAUUUUUGAAAAAAGUAGGACAUGUUCGCUUAGUUUACCUAUUAGGGUGAUGCUAUGUUUACUUUAAUCACUUAAACAUGUUCAAGGCAAAAUAUUGUUGUGUUUUUUCUUAUAAUUCCCUUGCCCAUGAUUGGGUAUUCAAACUGAACAUGGCAUUGCUUUAAUCACUAAACUAACCUCUAUCAUAUCCCAAUGUAAACAUACCGCUGUUAUAUAACAUUUUUUUUUUACUUGUAAUUAACGUUGAUAGUGAGAAACACUGCUUUGUACAUUCAUUUUUAAUCACUGUGGGAACAAUAAUUGCAACUAAUGUAUCAUUGUUUUCUCUGUAUAUUGGAAUUAUACCACUAACGAUUUCACAAGAAAUAUGUAUCACUGCGUUUUAAUGUCAAGUUGUAUUUCUGACUCACAUAAAAACUUUUAUGCAGCUAUCAUAAAAUAUAACUUUGUGUCCUACAAUAGUUGACAUAGCUGCUAAUAUCACACUUUUUUGGUAUAUAGUAUGUGUGAAACUUCAAGGUGUUUGCAAUAAGUAUGCAUACAAAAUACAAUGUUUUGCACAAAUUAGUCAGAAUUCUGAAAUUUUAGCUAUGAACAAAAUGAUUUAAACUUUUCAAUCGUAUUCACCAUUUCUCUUUACUGUACCAGAAUAGACUCCCUAAAGCUUAAUGUGAACUAAUGUUAUAUAUAGGAGUAGGCCACUUAUGUCUCUCCAGAUGGUUUUGAGCUGUAUUUGCCAGCAAGCAUUUCCGGCUAGCUGCAGUUCAGAACAGCAGGACAGCUACAGGGAGACAGAGAUGUGAAGAAAAUAGACCUUUUUACCUCAGUGCUGGCAUUUUUUGAAUCUGUUUUGUUUUCAAUGUUGCAUGUUACCUCAGCGUUUGUCUACUGCCGAGGACAACCUAUUGUUGUAAUAUCUAAAUUUUGCCAAGGAAAUUACAGUGUUUCUAGUGGCAUUAAUUGUUGAUGAACCUUUUAUUGUAUUACUGUGGUCCAUUUUUAUUGUUGCUAAGCCACAAGUGAUGUAUGAGCAAGCGAAUGAAUGAAGCUAAAACUUAUAUUGCAUAUACAAUAUUGCAGCCGUUUACCACAUCAAUGCUGCCAUUUAUCAUGUCUAUGAAUGUAAAAUAUUUGCAUCAAUAACAGAAUAAAAAUUGGAAAUGUUUUUUUA
Long non-coding RNA from Rana temporaria (common frog), 1481 nucleotides. RefSeq lists it as uncharacterized. The record is from RefSeq and is a predicted model, not a curated record. The transcript has 2 exons. Lineage: Eukaryota; Metazoa; Chordata; Amphibia; Anura; Ranidae.